Molecule: ribosomal RNA, 384 nt
Filed under: uncultured bacterium
Lineage: Bacteria
Description: bacterial SSU rRNA
Rfam family: Bacterial small subunit ribosomal RNA
Source: RNAcentral
AUUGAACGCUGGCGGCAUGCUUUACACAUGCAAGUCGAACGGUAACAGGCCUUCGGGUGCUGACGAGUGGCGAACGGGUGAGUAAUGCAUCGGAAUGUGCCCAAUCGUGGGGGAUAACGUAGCGAAAGUUACGCUAAUACCGCAUAAGCCCUGAGGGGGAAAGUGGGGGACCGCAAGGCCUCACGCGAAUGGAGCGGCCGAUGUCAGAUUAGCUAGUUGGUGGGGUAAAGGCCCACCAAGGCGACGAUCUGUAGCGGGUCUGAGAGGAUGAUCCGCCACACUGGGACUGAGGCACGGCCCAGACUCCUACGGGAGGCAGCAGUGGGGAAUUUUGGACAAUGGGCGCAAGCCUGAUCCAGCCAUGCCGCGUGCGGGACGAAGGCC